CAUUGAAGACAUUGUGCAUUCAUUUGGUUUGUAUCACUGAGUCUUCCUCUGUCCCAAUAAUUUUUAGAUUUUGUCUUUUUUUUAUUUAGUUUAUUUUAAUUAAGUAUAUAUGACAGUAGAAUGCAUUUUGAUUCAUUGUACACAAUUGAAGCACAACUUUUUAUUUCUCUGGUUGUAUACGAUGUAAUGUCACACCAUAUGUUCAGUCAUCCAUGUAUCUAGGGUAAUGAUAUCAUCUCAUACCACCAUCUUUCCUGCCCCCCAUUAGAUUUGGUCUUUUCAUGUUGUCCCAUGAUUCCUGGAGGUUCUAUUCAUGGUUUCUUACUAUCUUCACUGUGUAGUCAACUUUAUUUUCAAAGUUUAUUUUAUUUAUUUUGUCUUCAUUGCCUGAGAUUCUGCCUUCCAAGUGAUAUAAUCUGUUGAUGAUGCUUUCUAUUAAUUUUUUU
RNAcentral lists this long non-coding RNA (446 nucleotides) under Marmota monax (woodchuck). The record is from RNAcentral. Lineage: Eukaryota; Metazoa; Chordata; Mammalia; Rodentia; Sciuridae.